This is a small nuclear RNA of Toxorhynchites rutilus septentrionalis, 141 nucleotides long. RefSeq annotates it as U4 spliceosomal RNA. Lineage: Eukaryota; Metazoa; Arthropoda; Insecta; Diptera; Culicidae. The record is from RefSeq and is a predicted model, not a curated record. The transcript has a single exon.
AGCUUUGCGCAGUGGCGAUAUCGUAACCAAUGAGGUACAUCCGAGGUGCGAUUAUUGCUAGUUGAAAACUGAACUUUAUUUCAUAAAAAACGUGACCUGUUUUCUGAUUUGGCACACUUCCUGAUAGACGUAGUUCUACGU